UGGCAGUGGGUCAAAGUUAAGAUACCAGAAGUCCCUGUGAAUCUCGAGAGGCAGAGUAGCAGUCAUCCAGGCUCUGUAACCCAGAGAGGGACCCAGAGGUACACGGAGCUCUCUCGCCACCAAAGAUGCUCCUUUUCACAGCAGUGAGAGAUCACUUCA
Molecule: non-coding RNA, 159 nt
Organism: Myodes glareolus (Bank vole)
Lineage: Eukaryota; Metazoa; Chordata; Mammalia; Rodentia; Cricetidae
Source: RefSeq, a predicted model, not a curated record